This 654-nucleotide ribosomal RNA is filed under the name uncultured fungus. Its description in RNAcentral is "eukaryotic LSU rRNA". It matches the Rfam family "Eukaryotic large subunit ribosomal RNA", at positions 24 to 664 of the family's 3401-position model. The record is from RNAcentral. Lineage: Eukaryota; Fungi.
CCCGCUGAACUUAAGCAUAUCAAUAAGCGGAGGAAAAGAAACUAACAAGGAUUCCCCUAGUAACUGCGAGUGAAGCGGGAAAAGCUCAAAUUUAAAAUCUGGUGGUCUUUGGCCAUCCGAGUUGUAAUUUAGAGAAGCGUCUUCCGCGCUGGACCGUGCACAAAUCUCCUGGAACGGAGCGUCGUAGAGGGUGAGAAUCCCGUCUUUGGCAUGGACACACCAGGGCUUUUGCGAUGCGCUCUCGAAGAGUCGAGUUGUUUGGGAAUGCAGCUCAAAAUGGGUGGUGAACUCCAUCUAAAGCUAAAUAUUGGCGAGAGACCGAUAGCGAACAAGUACCGUGAGGGAAAGAUGAAAAGCACUUUGGAAAGAGAGUUAAACAGUAUGUGAAAUUGUUGAAAGGGAAACGAUGGAGGUCAGUCGUGUCUGUGGGAUUCAGCCGUCUCUGGCGGUGUACUUCCCACAGACGGGUCAACAUCAGUUUUGGUCGGCGGAUAAAGGCAGGAGGAAGGUGGCACCCUCGGGUGUGUUAUAGCCUCUUGUUGCAUACGCUGGCUGAGACUGAGGAAUGCAGCUCGCCUUUAUGGCCGGGGUUCGCCCACGUUCGAGCUUAGGAUGUUGACAUAAUGGCCUUCAACGACCCGUCUUGAAACACGG